Molecule: non-coding RNA, 697 nt
Organism: Phalacrocorax carbo (great cormorant)
Lineage: Eukaryota; Metazoa; Chordata; Aves; Suliformes; Phalacrocoracidae
Source: RefSeq, a predicted model, not a curated record
GGAGCAUUGCUGGCACUUGCAGAAAGAAGUUUUUUCCUGGUCUCUGAUGAGGCUUAGAGAAGAGUGGUUGUGGCCCAAAUCUGCUGUCAGAGAAACUACUAGGAUGGCAGUGGUGGUGGGGAGAUGAAGCAGAUCACCACCGGACGCCAAGGCCCAGAGGAAAACACUCCCACCCUUUCCAUCCCAUCAUUAAAGCAGUGAAUCAGGCCAAGAGAGGCUAAGCACCAUUCCCAGGGGAUACCCAGGAAGGCAGAAGCAGAGCAGGAUAUACCCCAGCCCUCCAGUGCUGCAGUUUGGUGAUGUAGCUGUAGAUGAAUCAGUAAGGAGCUCAACAAGAUGGCAGAAGCCCUCAUGCCAUUUAUAUUUGAUGUAAUAGCUUGGGACAUGUGGAUGUUUUUUUUCCCCAAACUAGAAACAUGCUGUGAAAGUAGAUGCCUGCUAACUCCCUGCCUGCUGAGCCAAUGAGGUGAGCACGAGGGAAUGUUUGCUAAUCUAAUGGGCUUCUGGCGUAGACCCAGCCCCAGUUCCAGCCGUGCGAGAAGGAUCCAUCCCCACUGCUGCUUUGGGUUUGAAAGGGCUGGGUAAGAGGGGAAUGCUCCCUUCCGUGAAUUUCAUCCUCUUGGCAGGGAAGAGACAUGGAGGUAGUCAGUUAUAGAAAGUGGGAUGAUUAUGCAGCAUCCUGGAAAGAGGGUGAGAA